Non-coding RNA from Salmo salar (Atlantic salmon), 58 nucleotides. The record is from Rfam. NCBI's taxonomy places the organism in Eukaryota, Metazoa, Chordata, Actinopteri, Salmoniformes, Salmonidae.
UGGCUCAGUUGGUAGAGCAUGGUGUUUGCAACACCAGAGUUGUGGGUUCGAUUCCCAC